GACGAACGCUGGCGGCGUGCUUAACACAUGCAAGUCGAACGAAGAUGCCGGAGUGCUUGCACUUUGGCAGACUGAGUGGCGGACGGGUGAGUAACGCGUGGGUAACCUGCCUCACACAGGGGGAUAACAGUUAGAAAUGACUGCUAAUACCGCAUAAGCGCACGGCAUCGCAUGAUGCAGUGUGAAAAACUCCGGUGGUGUGAGAUGGAUCCGCGUCUGAUUAGGUAGUUGGUGAGGUAACGGCCCACCAAGCCGACGAUCAGUAGCCGACCUGAGAGGGUGACCGGCACAUUGGGACUGAGACACGGCCCAAAACUCCUACGGGAGCAGCAGUGGGGAAUAUUGCACAAUGGGCGAAAGCCUAGAUGCAGCGACGCCGCGUGAGUGAAGAAGUAUUCGGUAUGUAAAGCUCUAUCAGCAGGGAAGAAAUGACGGUACCUGACUAAGAAGCCCCGGC
RNAcentral lists this ribosomal RNA (457 nucleotides) under uncultured bacterium. RNAcentral's name for it is "bacterial SSU rRNA". It matches the Rfam family "Bacterial small subunit ribosomal RNA", at positions 28 to 497 of the family's 1533-position model. The record is from RNAcentral.